GAUGAACGCUAGCGGCAGGCCUGACACAUGCAAGUCGAGGGGCAGCACAGAAACAGCAAUGUUUUGGUGGCGACCGGCGGACGGGUGCGUAACGCGUAUGCAACCUACCUUUAACAGGGGGAUAACGGAGAGAAAUUUCCACUAACACCCCAUAACAUCGAUCAAGGCAUCUUGAUUGGUUGAAAACUCCGGUGGUUAAAGAUGGGCAUGCGUUGUAUUAGGUAGUUGGUGAGGUAAUGGCUCACCAAGCCUACGAUACAUAGGGGGACCGAGAGGUUAGCCCCCCACACUGGUACUGAGACACGGACCAGACUCCUACGGGAGGCAGCAGUGAGGAAUAUUGGUCAAUGGGGGCAACCCUGAACCAGCCAUGCCGCGUGCAGGAAGACGGCUCUAUGAGUUGUAAACUGCUUUUAAACAGGGAUAAAGCACAGUAUGUAUACUGUGUUGAAGGUACUGUAAGAAUAAGGAUCGGCUAACUCCGUGCCAGCCGCCGCCGUAA
This 502-nucleotide ribosomal RNA is filed under the name uncultured bacterium. RNAcentral's name for it is "partial 16S ribosomal RNA". It matches the Rfam family "Bacterial small subunit ribosomal RNA", at positions 28 to 523 of the family's 1533-position model. The record is from RNAcentral.